GGGACUGAUGGGAGAGGAAGAAUUAGCAGCUUCCUCCCUGCCACCGAAUUUUCUGGAAUGUCUUGCUCCCAGCAUCUCUUGCAAAUUGGAACCUUGGGGAUAAUCCACUGAUUACACCUGCCUCAUCCAAUCUGAUGGGAAGAUUGCAUGGGAAGAUUGCAUGGUGGAGGGGCAUCUGUGUGGUAAUAAUAACUGCAUAAGCAUCAUAUCGUGCAAACCUCACAAUAGGUAUAAAAGGACCAUAGCACUGUCACUCACCUGUGCUUUUGCUAGGAAGAUCUGACCCUGUCCUUGACUGUGGCCUGGCUCAUGAGGUCUGGGAAACAGGGUGGGGAAGGGAGAGGGAGUGGGGAGAGACUGUCUCUGGGACAAGAACAUGAAUGUGGGUUGGACUUGCUCCCGGGCAUUUGCUUAGUGCCCAGUGAAGCUCAUGCUUUCCUGGUUCUUUCUCAAGCCCCGUCCAAGCACACCUCAGCUUUCUGGAAUGUGGUUUCCUUUUCUCCCCUUCUGCUUCUUCUCUUCUCUUUGCCCAGGUGCUAAGGGUAAGGGUACCUUGUGCCUUCGAAAGCAGGUACUUCUAUUUAUAGCUUCCAGAAGAUCCAACCCACACUCUCCUGUCAAUUAAGCCUGUUGUGGAGCCUGAUACCUCUAAAUUCAUCCGUGGGCUGCCUGAGUGGCAGGCACAGGGUGAAGGAUAUGGGUGAUGGCUUUUACCUAUUCCAGGGUGUCCCCUGAGCCCUUGUUUCAUUUGAGCUUCUUACCCUAAAGCGUGAGCCUGCCUGUUGUGAAGUCCAGCCAAAUGCCGGUGGCUUGUGCACAGAGAAUCCUACAGUAAACAAGCAUGGGGGUGCUACCAGGUCCACCCAAAAAUAAAACAGAAUAGGAUUGGUAAACAACUGGAUGAUAAUAAACCAGUUUGCAAUUCAUGGGGACAGAUGUGGAGACGUGGGGAGUUGCUAUCCUCUGGGCUCCCUGUGAGAAGCUCCCCAGGGAGACACACGCAUGCACCCACAUGCACCCACAUACACACACACACACACACACACACGCACGCACCAACACAACACACCAACACAGACACAAUCCCACGCUAGAAAGGGCCUGAGCCACCACCUCCCAUCCACAGGGGAUUCAGUCUAUGCCUACCCCACAUGUGGACACCUAUUCCUCAAUACUCCUCUCUUCAGAGUCUCCUCCAGAGACGGGGCAGCCAUCUUUGCAAGGGGGGGGGGUGCAUCUCCAGGACCUGGCUCAUCCUUUCUUUCUACAGUUCUAGAAAAGCUGAGAUUACUCCCCCAUGCUAGUUUGGGAGAGUGGUCAUGAGUGACACUCGGGAGAACAGCAAAGCCAGGGUGGACCAAGGGUGGGUGUGAGCCCCAGUUCUCCAAGUCCAAGUGACUGGGGAAGGUCGGGGUGUGAGGGACAGGUUGAGACAGGACCUGAGAAACACCCACACUGCCAAGACAAGCAUUUACACACCCACACACAGGUAGGCACAUGUGUGCGUGCACACGUAUACACACACGCACACAUACACUGAAUGUGCCCGCCCACACCUGCCGCACACGGGCUGCACACACCUCCUCGGACAUUCUCGGUCCCACUCACUCACCUACGCACUCGGGUGCCUCCGCCACGUUCCACAUUCUAAGAAUGUCCCACAGUUUCCCCUCUACAAGCUGUCACCUCCACACAGACCCACACAUGUUCAAGUUCAUAGGCUCACGCACACACAUAUACAGGCACACAUUCUCACAAGCUAUAUUUGGAGGGAAGAGAAAGCCACAGGCGCGUCCUACCUCCACAGAAGGCAUACAACCCAUAUGCCUGCUUGCACACACAUGUGUAUUCACACGCACGUCAACCUCUGCCCAUAUUCUGAUAUUCUCUCUCAAGUCUUCCCCAGGCUCAAAGACCCCAGCUAUGGAAAUGUGGUUUGUCUCUAGCCACACUCUGCCAGCCCUGAUCCUUCCCAUGCCAACAGGUUUGCACACCUAUGAGGGGCUGCCCACAGACAGUGGCUUCUGCCCACACUCUCCACCUACCUAUCCCUUUCUGCUCUGGAGUCGCCCCUCCCCACAUAGAAAUGCUUUGGUUGCACGCAUUCCCUCCCUCACCAUGUACUCCCACACACAUGACAAGUGAUAUGUCCACCCCAUAAAUAUACUGCCUCACACUGCCCCCACCCACAUAACCCAAAGGCUACUCAGAUAAGUGACCCCCCCCACACACGUACCUCACAUGUACAAGAAACGUAUGUUCCUAAACAUGCCACACAGCUGUGGAGACCCACACAUGAGCGCAGGCGUGUACAUACAGAACUAUCUACGCAAGCAAACCUCCAGGCUCCUCACAAGCAUGCAUACAUGCCGUGCACACGGAUACCCUUUGCCCAUGCCCAUCCAGAAAAGCCACCCACAAGCCAGAGGGAAGUCUCUCCCCACCCCACUGUCCCUGUUGGCAUCGCUGACUGCAGCAGAAUGGUCACGGGGUGACUGACUGUGGUGCCCCGGGGACUGGAUCCGGGGGUUAACCUCUUUGCCAAGGCCCUGGGGAACAGGGGACAAGGUCGUUGGCCCUGGCAAUCCAGGUGGGUACCGUGGGCAGUGGCAGGCCCCUGGUGCCCCCACCUCCUAGCCCCUUGCCACCUGAGUCCCUCUCAGAAUUGACAGCAGGAUGCUCUGGGGAGAAAGGGCACUCACCUGGCUCCACUGGGCUCUGCAGAGGAAGACCUGGAAGGGAGGGAAGGGAGAGACCUCUGUGUGGAUGUGCUCCCCAGGGAGAGGGGCAGCGGCGACGCCUGGGUCACAGACAGAGGCGCGCUCGCUCUCCUCUCGCUCCUCUCGAGGCUGCCAAAGAGGCUUCUUCCAUGCCCCGGCAGGCAGCUCCUGCCGGCUCUGCAGCGCACUGCUGCUGCCCCCAGAGAGGCGAUGUUCCCAGCCGAGCGCAAGGAGAGGCAAGAGCGAAAUCAAAGCAGCGUGGAGGAGAGAGAGAGAGGCAGAGAAGGCGAGAAAGAACGAGAGAGCCAGACUGAAUCUGGCUCCACCAAUGGGAUCAGUGGCUGCCCAGCGUCAGGUGACGAUAAGCAAGCUCGGUCCCUGAUCGCUCUGCUCGCUCGCUCUCCUGGGCUGGUGUGGGAGGGGAAAGGGCAGAGGGUCUCCUGGGAAGCUACGGUGAUGUCCUCAGAGAUAGCAGCGGUGGCUGCCACUCUUUUCCUUGUUUUUCCAGGACAAGCUGCCCUCAGAAGAAGUCCCUCUAACACACCCCUACUUGGAAAUCUCUCACUUGAAUGCAGCCCCCAAACUUUAGGAGGCUUUGCUACCACCAAAGGAAAACUCCAGGGAUGCCACUGUGAAGAACACUCAAGGAAAUUUGAAUCAAGCAACCAACAGUGACAAAGAGUGUGCAGUCUGGAAAAGCAUGGGCUUUACAAUUAAACAGAUACAAUUAAAAUUCUUGUUCUCUCACUUUCUAGCUGAGUGAUCUUGGACUAGUUACUCAAUCUCUCAGAGCUUUGAUUUCUUCAUCUGUCAAGUGACAUUAUAAACACUGCCAUCACUGAGUGAGAAAUUAUGUAAAUCACUAAGCUGUGAGCCUGUACGCCAGAAGGGCCCAGUCACCUAUCAGAACUGUUAUCAUUGCCAUCAUUAUUGACAAUGUCUGCCUGCAAGGAGCCCACAGUCUUUUAGGGGGAAAAGGGUGGACAUAGAGAACAAGAAAUAUACAACUAAGUUGCAAGGUACAGAUAAGGAUUCAGAGAAGAAGAAGUCUGAACCAGCUUGAAUACAGGUGGAGCAUGGCCAAGAGGGGACCAUGGAAGCAGGAGCAUGGUGGGGGUGGGGAGGGCUUGGUGCAGGGGCAGCAGACAGACCGUGCAGGCUUCAGAGUGCCACAGAAGACAUGAGUUGAGUGCACAGGACCUGGGGACCGCGGACAUCAGCAGGCGGUAAAGGUUAGAGAAGGUGACAGUGGACAGAAUGUGAAUAUUGCACAGAAAGCAAAGACAAGCAGAAGCCAAUCCUUCCCUAAAUGGGUGUGGAGAAUUUGAGCAAGUUGGGUCAGAUCCUGAACCACAGAAUGCAGUGCCGUGUGUUACACUGAGACAGGAUUAAGCACUCCCUUCGCCAAACAGAGGUAGGUCCCGCCCCAUGCACACCUACACUGAAAUGUUGCAAUCCCGAAGAGAUGCAAAACGUAAUCUCAUGGUUAUGGCCAGCACCAAACAUCUGGACCAAAACCUGGCCCUACAGCUAACCUGAGAGGCGGUGUGAGGAAAAGUCAUGUUCUCUAUGACUCGGUUCUCCCCUUAAAAGGAAGAUGAGUCCCAGCACACCUCUGCCUCCCACCUUCCCGGGAUGGCAUGUGGAGACCGCGUGAGAUCAUGUGUCCCAAGCGUGAACAACAGCCAUAUGAAUGUGCUUUUGUGGAGCUAUGUGCUAGCAUCAGGUGGAGGCACAAAGCCUCUCAGGGUUUCUGCUGCUUCUUGCCUCUGAGGACUUCUCUGCAGAUCACAUGAGAAAACACAUGGUAAGAAUGAAGCUUAACAAGCCAAAUAUAAGUAACUCUGUAUGAAACCAAACAACCACCAAAAUGCGCUUUUGCUGCAUUUUUAUUUUUAACAACUUUUUAUUACACAAGUAAUACAUGAUCACUAUAGAAUGAUGAGAAAUUUUAAUUCUAAAAUUUAGGAGAGAAUUAAAAUCAUUCAUUCCCCCACCAUUCGAAAUAGGCAUAUGAGAUAUAUAUUUUAUUAACAAAAAUAGAAAGUGUAAAUACUGUUUUAUAACCUGCUUUUUUCACUCACCAAUACCUUUUCUAUUCAAUACACAGUCUUUCUACAGUAUUGUUUUAAACUGCUGUGUAUAUUCUACUGUCAGGUCACAUACCCUUUUUUUAGAGCCAAUCCCCUAUUCUUCUAUGAGUAUUUUAUUUUUCUUCAUUCUA
Felis catus (domestic cat) is the source of this 4944-nucleotide long non-coding RNA. RefSeq lists it as uncharacterized. The record is from RefSeq and is a predicted model, not a curated record. The transcript has 4 exons. Lineage: Eukaryota; Metazoa; Chordata; Mammalia; Carnivora; Felidae.